AGCGGAAGAUGGGAGCUUGCUCCCUGAUGUUAGCGGCGGACGGGUGAGUAACACGUGGGUAACCUGCCUGUAAGACUGGGAUAACUCCGGGAAACCGGGGCUAAUACCGGAUGCUUGUUUGAACCGCAUGGUUCAAACAUAAAAGGUGGCUUCGGCUACCACUUACAGAUGGACCCGCGGCGCAUUAGCUAGUUGGUGAGGUAAUGGCUCACCAAGGCAACGAUGCGUAGCCGACCUGAGAGGGUGAUCGGCCACACUGGGACUGAGACACGGCCCAGACUCCUACGGGAGGCAGCAGUAGGGAAUCUUCCGCAAUGGACGAAAGUCUGACGGAGCAACGCCGCGUGAGUGAUGAAGGUUUUCGGAUCGUAAAGCUCUGUUGUUAGGGAAGAACAAGUGCCGUUCAAAUAGGGCGGCACCUUGACGGUACCUAACCAGAAAGCCACGGCUAACUACGUGCCAGCAGCCGCGGUAAUACGUAGGUGGCAAGCGUUGUCCGGAAUUAUUGGGCGUAAAGGGCUCGCAGGCGGUUUCUUAAGUCUGAUGUGAAAGCCCCCGGCUCAACCGGGGAGGGUCAUUGGAAACUGGGGAACUUGAGUGCAGAAGAGGAGAGUGGAAUUCCACGUGUAGCGGUGAAAU
Molecule: ribosomal RNA, 639 nt
Filed under: Bacillus sp. 13548
Lineage: Bacteria; Bacillati; Bacillota; Bacilli; Caryophanales; Bacillaceae
Description: bacterial SSU rRNA
Rfam family: Bacterial small subunit ribosomal RNA
Source: RNAcentral